GGACUACAGGGGUUUCUAAUCCUGUUUGCUACCCACGCUUUCGCACCUCAGCGUCAGUUAAUGCCCAGUUUGCUGCCUUCGCCAUGGGUGUUCCUCCUGAUAUCUACGCAUUUCACCGCUACACCAGGAAUUCCACAAACCUCUGCAUCACUCCAGCUCGACAGUAUGUAAAGCAGUUUCUGGGUUGAGCCCUAGAGAUUUCACUUCACACUUACCGAGCCGCCUACGUGCUCUUUACGCCCAGUAAAUCCGGACAACGCUUGGACCCUACGUCUUACCGCGGCUGCUGGCAC
RNAcentral lists this ribosomal RNA (293 nucleotides) under uncultured bacterium. Its description in RNAcentral is "partial 16S ribosomal RNA". The record is from RNAcentral.